This 21-nucleotide microRNA is filed under the name Gossypium hirsutum (cotton). The record is from RNAcentral. RNAcentral also lists the same sequence under 22 other names. Lineage: Eukaryota; Viridiplantae; Streptophyta; Magnoliopsida; Malvales; Malvaceae.
UAGCCAAGGAUGACUUGCCUG